RNAcentral lists this ribosomal RNA (637 nucleotides) under uncultured Cortinarius. RNAcentral describes it as "eukaryotic LSU rRNA". The stretch from base 256 to 409 matches the Rfam family "5.8S ribosomal RNA". Lineage: Eukaryota; Fungi; Basidiomycota; Agaricomycetes; Agaricales; Cortinariaceae. The record is from RNAcentral.
GAUCAUUAUUGAAAUAAACCUGAUGAGUUGUUGCUGGUUCUCUAGGGAGCAUGUGCACAUUUGUCAUUUUUAUAUCUCCACCUGUGCACCUUUUGUAGACCUUGGAUAUCUCUCUGAGUGUUAUAAACACACUCAGGUUUGAGGAUUGAUCUUUUAUGGUCUCUCUUUACAUUUCCAGGUCUAUGUUUCUUCAUAGACUCAAUGUAUGUUAUAGAAUGUAAUAUAUGGGCCUUUGUAGCCUAAUAAACCAAAUACAACUUUCAGCAACGGAUCUCUUGGCUCUCGCAUCGAUGAAGAACGCAGCGAAAUGCGAUAAGUAAUGUGAAUUGCAGAAUUCAGUGAAUCAUCGAAUCUUUGAACGCACCUUGCGCUCCUUGGUAUUCCGAGGAGCAUGCCUGUUUGAGUGUCAUUAAUAUAUCAACCUCUUCAGCUUUUGUUUGUUGAGUGUUGGAUGUGGGGGUUUUUCUUGCUGGCCUUUUGUUGUCAGCUCCCCUAAAAUUCAUUAGCGGAACAAUUUGUGGAAGCGUUCAUUGGUGUGAUAAUUAUCUACGCUAUUGACGUGAAGCAGCAGUUCAGCUUCUAACAGUCCAUUGACUUGGACAAACAAUUUUAUUAAUGUGACCUCAAAUCAGGUAGG